This is a long non-coding RNA of Clupea harengus (Atlantic herring), 209 nucleotides long. RefSeq lists it as uncharacterized. Lineage: Eukaryota; Metazoa; Chordata; Actinopteri; Clupeiformes; Clupeidae. The transcript is spliced from 3 exons. The record is from RefSeq and is a predicted model, not a curated record.
CCUCCUCCUCAGAAGCCAACACCUCCUCCUCCGUCUGUCCCGGCGGUUCUGUUUGUCACAGCUGUCCACGCAUUCCGCUUUGUGAAUAGGCAGUAUGUAAAGCAGGGUAAAGUUGGUGCUGCGGUUCUGGGAAACCAUGGAAACAAAGAGUAUAAGAUCCUGAUCUAUGGAAGCCAGCAGAAACAGCUAUCGACUGCCAGGAUCCACCC